UUAACUAUUAUAUAGUACUCAGACAUCACUAAAAUUCAGAGUUUGGUCCUCUGGCAGGCGCAUGCAGGCAGAGCCCACAGGGUCAAGACCACGGCCUGCCAAAGCAACAAAAGUAUAUAGACACGGAUGGAAAAGACUCGAAAGUCUAAACCUGUAAUGAUCCUUCCGCAGGUUCACCUACGGAAA
RNAcentral lists this unclassified non-coding RNA (186 nucleotides) under uncultured fungus. RNAcentral describes it as "sequence contains ITS1". Lineage: Eukaryota; Fungi. The record is from RNAcentral.